GGUUCCAUGGAAUAAUGGUUAGUACGUUGGACUUUGAAUCCAAUGAUCCGAGUUCAAAUCUCGGUGGAACCU
This is a non-coding RNA of Trichonephila clavipes, 72 nucleotides long. Lineage: Eukaryota; Metazoa; Arthropoda; Arachnida; Araneae; Nephilidae. The record is from the annotation of a GenBank genome assembly.